This 373-nucleotide ribosomal RNA is filed under the name uncultured organism. RNAcentral's name for it is "partial 16S ribosomal RNA". It matches the Rfam family "Bacterial small subunit ribosomal RNA", at positions 527 to 896 of the family's 1533-position model. The record is from RNAcentral.
GUAGGUGGCAAGCGUUGUCCGGAAUUAUUGGGCGUAAAGCGCGCGCAGGCGGUUCUUUAAGUCUGAUGUGAAAGCCCACGGCUCAACCGUGGAGGGUCAUUGGAAACUGGAGGACUUGAGUACAGAAGAGGAAAGCGGAAUUCCACGUGUAGCGGUGAAAUGCGUAGAGAUGUGGAGGAACACCAGUGGCGAAGGCGGCUUUCUGGUCUGUAACUGACGCUGAGGCGCGAAAGCGUGGGGAGCAAACAGGAUUAGAUACCCUGGUAGUCCACGCCGUAAACGAUGAGUGCUAAGUGUUAGGGGGUUUCCGCCCCCCUUAGUGCUGCAGCCAACGCAUUAAGCACUCCGCCCUGGGAGUACGACCGCAAGGUUG